ACUGCUCAGUAACACGUGGAUAACCUGCCCUUGGGUCCGGCAUAACCCCGGGAAACUGGGGAUAAUUCCGGAUAACGCAUAUGUGCUGGAAUGCUUUAUGCGUCAAAUGGAUUCGUCUGCCCAAGGAUGGGUCUGCGGCCUAUCAGGUAGUAGUGGGUGUAAUGUACCUACUAGCCGACAACGGGUACGGGUUGUGAGAGCAAGAGCCCGGAGAUGGAUUCUGAGACAUGAAUCCAGGCCCUACGGGGCGCAGCAGGCGCGAAAACUUUACAAUGCGGGAAACCGUGAUAAGGGGACACCGAGUGUCAGCAUCAUAUGCUGGCUGUCCAGGUGUGUAAAAUACACCUGUUAGCAAGGGCCGGGCAAGACCGGUGCCAGCCGCCGCGGUAACACCGGCGGCCCGAGUGGUGAUCGUGAUUAUUGGGUCUAAAGGGUCCGUAGCCGGUUUGGUCAGCCCUCCGGGAAAUCUGAUAGCUCAACUAUUAGGCUAUCGGGGGAUACUACCAGACUUGGAACCGGGAGAGGUAAGAGGUACUACAGGGGUAGGAGUGAAAUCUUGUAAUCCCUGUGGGACCACCUGUGGCGAAGGCGUCUUACCAGAACGGGUUCGACGGUGAGGGACGAAAGCUGGGGGCACGAACCGGAUUAGAUACCCGGGUAGUCCCAGCCGUAAACGAUGCUCGCUAGGUGUCAGGCAUGGCGCGACCGUGUCUGGUGCCGCAGGGAAGCCGUGAAGCGAGCCACCUGGGAAGUACGGCCGCAAGGCUGAAACUUAAAGGAAUUGGCGGGGGAGCAC
RNAcentral lists this ribosomal RNA (796 nucleotides) under uncultured archaeon. Its description in RNAcentral is "bacterial SSU rRNA". It matches the Rfam family "Archaeal small subunit ribosomal RNA", at positions 85 to 879 of the family's 1478-position model. The record is from RNAcentral.